This 142-nucleotide ribosomal RNA is filed under the name Patescibacteria group bacterium. RNAcentral's name for it is "partial 16S ribosomal RNA". It matches the Rfam family "Bacterial small subunit ribosomal RNA", at positions 1378 to 1533 of the family's 1533-position model. The record is from RNAcentral.
GCCUUGUACACACCGCCCGUCAAGCGAUGAGAGUUGGGAGUACCCGAAGUCCUGUGUAGGCAGGCCGAAGGUAAAACCAAUGAUUGGCGCUAAGUCGUAACAAGGUAGCCGUACGGGAACGUGCGGCUGGAUCACCUCCUUU